GGAUAAUCGUGCUGUGAACAAAGAGGAUAAGGUAGGUAGGGUCGGCGAGACGAAAGGAGAAGAAGCGGAAGCGAAACGGGUUAAAGAGUGUCGAGAGGCUGAGGUGGCCCGGGGGGAGGAGAAGCACGGCAGACGAGGAAGAGGAGGCAUCAUGAGUCAGCAGUAUUUCACCGGUUCAUCCUGAGGAGAAUCGAGCAUGUGAACGCUGUGGCUGUCAUCCUUCCUGUGACGUGCUCCUCAUUUGCAUUCGCCGACCUGCCCUUUUCCCCACUCGGUCUUCAGGUACCCACAUGAUGCCCACCAAACAGAAGGACCUGCCAGAAGGCAGAAGAACUGCGGUGCAAGGGUGUAGCUGCUGAUUCUAUACACCACAGCAGAGAGGCUGAGGAGCCACGUCAGGUGUCACCGCUCCGCCACCCGACUUGAGCCUGCAGAACCAAGACAUCCACCGCUGGUUCCAAAGUAUCAAGGCCAGUUCUCUGCCUCGCCGAGCCAACCGGCCCAUGCGUCUGCCCAGCCGGGCCUAGUCUGCCCUGCCCUGCCCAGCAGCUGGCAUCCUGCAGGAGUCAUCAGGGUUAGUGCUCGGCUGGCACACCUCAGUGUGCGAAUCAGCAAGGCAGGAACUUGUAAAUUUAUAGAUGUGCACUCAAACACCAGGCCAAACAAUCCAUCUUGCAUAAGCGAAAGAAGGGUGGAGUGCGUAAGCUUUAAAACACAUCAGUCACAAAAGUAGAUCGUAAGCCAUUUUUUUCCUAAAUUUAAAGCACCGAGACAGAAAUGACUCUACAUAAGGACGAUAUGCUCUUUUUAACCACACAUUAUACAAGAUAAACGGCCGUCUCUCGUUUCUAUAUCUACAUUUCUACCCGUCAUUAUCAGGCUGCACACACGGAGAUUAUACACAUGGCCCUAUUAGCUAUUUGGUUUAUAAUUCCAAUACUGCAAGUUUGAGCAUUUUGCGCAGUUCAUCGGGAAGACACUGCAGGGGGAAAAAAAAAAGACAAAGCUUCAACUAAAUGACUGUCGGUCUUAUCGGGACGUGUGGGCGAGGAAACGCGUGCGUGGACCACCAACGGGCUCGUGCGUUGAAAUCUCUGCCCUUGCCUCUAAUGCAUCUGUCAGCCUAAAAGUGUUCAGUCAGAGGGAGUGUACAUCUGAUGCCUGUGAAUGACAGGGAGCAUAUUUGAAUUGAAUGUGCAUUACAUCAGCACUUUUCUUUUUGCAGUCUUUCAUGCACACUUUAGUUUAGUGGGUUCCAUUUAAAAAUGUUACUCGAAUUGCAAUAUAGGUGCAAAAUGCUUUUGUUAAAUUACUGCUAUUCUUCCCGAGUAUUUGCUUCCCUUCAAAAGAGGCCUUAUUCUUCUCACCGAGUUAAAAAUAACACUUGAAAGGAGAAAAGCAUCAUCUUGAUUUUAUUGAUGUUCACACUUUUAGUACAGGGAAUUUAAGGACGACAACCUGUGUGUGAGCAUGUAUGUUAAUGCGUCUUUGUGUACCUGCCAUUUAGCCUCGAGUAAAUGAGAAAAUGAAUGCACGCUUAUCGCAGCCAAUUGCGACAGAUUCUUAAUAAAUGGACACAAAACGCGGUCAUUGCUAUUUAUGUGCAUGCUGACACUGUAUAACCUCGCAGCGUUUUGCCGCCAUUGAAGCAAGCGCAAAAAAAAAUAAACCGGGUCAUAAUCCGGAUUUUGUGCAUUACUGUAAUUUCUCGCCUCUUGAAAAUUCAGUGGCAGCAAAUGGGGGAGAAAAGACGAUGCGUCUUGAGUGGGUGUGCGGAGGUCUGCAGCUUCCAGGGUGGGGAGGAUGCUCGCCUACCCUUCUGGCUUCCAUCCCGAGCGUAGACAACAGACGUCGUCAUUUUCCAACUCGAUUUACAGAUGCAUUAGGAGAUGCCGAGGCGCACCCAUCUCUCUCAAAUGCAAUCAGGCCUCCUUUGUGCUUUAAGAGGAAAUUGAGGGUGCCGUCGUUAUCGACUUUCUUUCCCACUUCUCCUUCAUGUAGGCUCGCCUUUUCUGCCAACGUAACGUACACGGAUGCUUACGGACUCUUUAAUGAUUCGUCUUUACUCGCUUGUCGCCUUUUUGGGCGGGUUUAAAAGGGUAAAGAUGGAUCUUGAAAGACAAUUUUUAAAGGUCUGUCAUAUAGAUUGAACAAGGUAGGUUCUAUGCAUAAGCGGAUUUUAAGGAUAUUAAAAAAAAAAAAAAAAAUAUAUAUAUAUAUAUAUAUAUAUAUAUAUAUAUAUAUAUAUAUUAGGGCUGUCAAAAUGAUCGCGAUAACGAGCGGUAAUUAAUUUUUUAAAUUAAUCCCGUUAAAAUAUUUGACGCAAUUAACGCACAAAUGCCCCGCUCAAACAGAUUAAAAUGAGAGCACAGUGAAAGGUGUACUUGUUGUGGGCCCUUGGGUACGACUGAUAUUAUAGGCUUCAGCACCCAUGAGCAUUGUGUAAGUAAUUAUUGACAUCAACAAUGGCGGGCUACUAGUUUAUUUUUUGAUUGAAAAUUUUACAAAUAUUAUUGAAACGAAAACAUGAAGAGGGGUUUUGAUAUAAAAUUUCUAUAACUUGUCUUUUAAGAACUACGUCUUUCUAUCCAUGGAUUGCUUUUACAGAAUGUCAAUACUGGUAAUGCCAUCUUGUUGAUUUAUUGUUAUAAUAAAGAAAUACAGUACUUAUGUACCGUAUGUUGAAUGUAUAUAUCCAUCUUGUGUCUUAUCUUUCCAUUCCAAAAAUAAUUUACAGAA
This is a long non-coding RNA of Corythoichthys intestinalis (scribbled pipefish), 2739 nucleotides long. RefSeq lists it as uncharacterized. The transcript has 4 exons. NCBI's taxonomy places the organism in Eukaryota, Metazoa, Chordata, Actinopteri, Syngnathiformes, Syngnathidae. The record is from RefSeq and is a predicted model, not a curated record.